AGAGUUUGAUCAUGGCUCAGAUUGAACGCUGGCGGCAGGCCUAACACAUGCAAGUCGAGCGGAAACGAUGGUAGCUUGCUACCAGGCGUCGAGCGGCGGACGGGUGAGUAACGCGUGAGAAUCUGCCCAUUUGUGGGGGAUAACUCGGGGAAACUCGAGCUAAUACCGCAUAAUCCCUACGGGGGAAAGCAGGGGACCUUCGGGCCUUGUGCAGAUGGAUGAGCUCGCGUCGGAUUAGCUUGUUGGUGAGGUAAAGGCUCACCAAGGCGACGAUCCGUAGCUGGUCUGAGAGGAUGAUCAGCCACACCGGGACUGAGACACGGCCCGGACUCCUACGGGAGGCAGCAGUGGGGAAUCUUGGACAAUGGGGGCAACCCUGAUCCAGCCAUGCCGCGUGUGUGAAGAAGGCCUUCGGGUUGUAAAGCACUUUCAGUAGGGAGGAAGGCUUACCGCUAAUAACGGUGAGUACUUGACGUUACCUACAGAAGAAGCACCGGCUAAUUUCGUGCCAGCAGCCGCGGUAAUACGAAAGGUGCGAGCGUUAAUCGGAAUUACUGGGCGUAAAGCGCGCGUAGGCGGUUUGUUAAGUCAGAUGUGAAAGCCCCGGGCUCAACCUGGGAAUUGCAUUUGAAACUGGCAGGCUAGAGUGCAGUAGAGGGAGGUGGAAUUUCCGGUGUAGCGGUGAAAUGCGUAGAGAUCGGAAGGAACACCAGUGGCGAAGGCGGCCUCCUGGACUGACACUGACGCUGAGGUGCGAAAGCG
Molecule: ribosomal RNA, 762 nt
Filed under: uncultured bacterium
Lineage: Bacteria
Description: bacterial SSU rRNA
Rfam family: Bacterial small subunit ribosomal RNA
Source: RNAcentral